CAGAGGUAGAGGUCAGUGACAUUAGUCUUAGGUAACACCCAGUGCUCACUGCAUCACAUGCCCUCUGUAAGGAACUAUUUUUGUUGGUGGAAUCAUGAGCAAUGAAGAAAAAAGACUGGAAUUUGUUAAAAGGGAAAAGCUGGAAUGAAGGAGGAUCUGGACUUGGUGAUGCUCUGAUCCUCUCCGGUUGCCUUGUUUAACUGCAUGUUGCUGGAUGAUGACAGGCUGAUGAGGUUUCACACUUGAUGAGAAUCAGGUCAAGGAUCACAAUCUCAUGCGAGUGUGUGUAGUUCUAUCUCCUCACUUCUCUCCUGGGGCUUAAAUAUUAAGUUAUGACGAAGCCAUGGUAUUUCCGGACCACAUUAAACCUCUAUCUCUUCAUUCCAGUUCCCUUGGCUGACAACCCAGGGCACAACUCCUGCUUCCGUGAGUGCCUAAUACAAGAGUUGAAGCUCCCGGAGCCUUCUUUGAAAAAUGCCAUGCCUAAUGUUCUACUACAGAUGUUUGCCUUGAGUCAAAUAUGGAACUUAUGUAAAAUUAUACGUGGGUUGGUGCUUGCUGCAUGCCUCUCUCCAGGACUAACUGGCUUUCCAUCCCCAAACUCACCCUCUGCUGGACACACAUGCUGGAGACGUGCUGGAGAGACACUGAGGUAUACAGACGCACACACAUUCUCUGCCGGUGAUCGUACACAGCUGAUAACUUCAUAAGCAUUGGCUUUUUGCUUGAUAUGCAAAAUAUUUCAAGGCUAGUGACCUGGGAAAGACAUUUCUCAGGGAUCCUGCCAAUAGCUUUCUCUGCUAUUAUAAUAGAAAAUGAUAAACCACGAUCUCAUUUUCUCAUUAGUAUUCAGCAGCAAUAGAUGGAUACUAAAUCCUCACUGAAUAAUUUAGCUCGAAAUGUUUACCCUUUGAUGUACAAGUACAACAUAACUGGAAAACACCAUGUCCUGAAUCUAUUCUCAGAAGCUACUAUUUUAGUAUAUUCGACACUUUAAAUGCCAGAUUAGACUGAGAAACAAAACACAAAAAGCUUCAAAGGGAGUUUCAAAUUCCUGUCGGUGCGUUUCCUGUAGGCUCCCUACUCUGCCUCCCACGCCCACCCCAUCUCCAGUUUGCAGUUGCUAUCGAAAGCCUAACUGAGGAUUCCUGAGCUGCUGUUUUUGUUUUUGAUCAUGGUCUCUGAUAUUGGUGGUUUUCAGAAAGAUUUUAUUUCUUUAUUUUAGAUAGAGAGACGGAAGAGCAGAGGGAGAGAGAGAGAGAAUCUCAGGGAGACUCUGCACUGAACACGGAGCCUGACAUGGGACUCAAUCCCACAACCCUGGGAUCAUGACCUGAGCCAAAACCAAGAGUCAGACACUUAACCAGCUGUGCCAUGCAGGGACCCCAAGGAGUUUUUUUUGUUGUUUUUUUUUUUCUAACUCCAGCUACAUUUUUGAGAUCCUGUAAUUGAGCACUAGGAUUCACCACCAAGGAGACACUGAUAGACAUGUUGCAAUUAGUAGGAAUAGAAUGAACAAAAAGAGAUCCGGCUUCGAAUCUUGCCUCUGCCAUUUAAAAACUCCAGCUUGGACAAAAUACUUGCCUGAGCCUCCAUGUCCUUGUUUUUAAGGUGAGAAAAGGUUUCUGUACCUUAACUACUUAAGGUAGUUACUAUUUAACUAUUGUCAAGGUUAAAAAUAAGUGGCGUGGUGCCCAGUGAGCCCUCAGUGAGCCCUCAGUGACGAGAUGCGUCUGACCAGGCAAUGAGCACUGUUCCUUUCACCUUGCUCCCUCCUUGACCUUCAUCAGGAAAAUUUUGUGAUUUCAGUUCCCUCUCCCCGCUCCUGGAUUUCUCAUUCGGGAAUUGAUGCUCAAAACUGUGAUGUGCUGAUGGAAGGUCCUGGACCAUUUUUCCUGUUCUUCUGUAUAGUGAUAAAUGGAACAUAUUAUUGAAAUAAACUGACUAUUAUUAUAGCA
This 1958-nucleotide long non-coding RNA is filed under the name Vulpes vulpes (red fox). Its description in RNAcentral is "lncRNA (ENSVVUG00000017194.1)". Lineage: Eukaryota; Metazoa; Chordata; Mammalia; Carnivora; Canidae. The record is from RNAcentral.